GGCUCCAUAGCUCAGUUGGUUAGAGCGCUAGCCUGUCACGCUAGAGGUCGACGGUUCGAGCCCGUUUGGAGUCGCCA
RNAcentral lists this transfer RNA (77 nucleotides) under Clostridia bacterium. Its description in RNAcentral is "tRNA-Asp". It matches the Rfam family "tRNA". From Rfam's summary of the family: Transfer RNA (tRNA) molecules are approximately 80 nucleotides in length. Their secondary structure includes four short double-helical elements and three loops (D, anti-codon, and T loops). The record is from RNAcentral. Lineage: Bacteria; Bacillati; Bacillota; Clostridia.